GACGAACGCUGGCGGCGCGCCUAACACAUGCAAGUCGAACGAGCGAGAGAGAGCUUGCUUUCUUGAGCGAGUGGCGAACGGGUGAGUAACGCGUGAGGAACCUGCCUCAAAGAGGGGGACAACAGUUGGAAACGACUGCUAAUACCGCAUAAGCCCACGGUGCCGCAUGGCACAGAGGGAAAAGGAGCAAUCCGCUUUGAGAUGGCCUCGCGUCCGAUUAGCUAGUUGGUGAGGUAACGGCCCACCAAGGCGACGAUCGGUAGCCGGACUGAGAGGUUGAACGGCCACAUUGGGACUGAGGCACGGCCCAGACUCCUACGGGAGGCAGCAGUGGGGAAUAUUGCACAAUGGGGGAAACCCUGAUGCAGCGACGCCGCGUGGAGGAAGAAGGUCUUCGGAUUGUAAACUCCUGUUGUUGGGGAAGAUAAUGACGGUACCCAACAAGGAAGUGACGGCUAACUACGUG
This 466-nucleotide ribosomal RNA is filed under the name uncultured bacterium. Its description in RNAcentral is "partial 16S ribosomal RNA". It matches the Rfam family "Bacterial small subunit ribosomal RNA", at positions 28 to 507 of the family's 1533-position model. The record is from RNAcentral.